This 244-nucleotide ribosomal RNA is filed under the name uncultured bacterium. Its description in RNAcentral is "partial 16S ribosomal RNA". It matches the Rfam family "Bacterial small subunit ribosomal RNA", at positions 524 to 766 of the family's 1533-position model. The record is from RNAcentral.
UACGAAGGGGGCUAGCGUUACUCGGAAUUACUGGGCGUAAAGGGCGCGUAGGCGGCGUUCCAAGUUAGGCGUGAAAGUCCUGGGCUCAACCUGGGAACUGCGCUUAAGACUGGAAUGCUAGAGGAUGGAAGAGGGUUGUGGAAUUCCCAGUGUAGAGGUGAAAUUCGUAGAUAUUGGGAAGAACACCGGUGGCGAAGGCGGCAACCUGGUCCAUUUCUGGACGCUGAGGCGCGAUAGCGGUGGG